UGGCUCAGAACGAACGCUGGCGGCAGGCCUGAGGCAUGCAAGUCGAACGAGAAAGGUAGCAAUACCGAGUAGAGUGGCGCACGGGUGAGUAAUGUAUGGGAAUCUGCCCAGAAGUGGGGAAUAACAGUUGGAAACGACUGCUAAUACCGCAUACGCCGGAAACGGGAAAGAUUUAUCGCUUUUGGAUGAGCCCAUAUUGGAUUAGUUAGUUGGUGGGGUAAAGGCCUACCAAGGCGAUGAUCCAUAGCUGGUUUGAGAGAAUGAUCAGCCACACUGGAACUGAGACACGGUCCAGACUCCUACGGGAGGCAGCAGCUAGGAAUAUUGGACAAUGGGGGCAACCCUGAUCCAAGCCAUGCCGCGUGAGUGAAGAAGGCCUUCGGGUUGUAAAGCUCUUUUAAUAGGGAAGAUGAUGACGGUACCUAUAGAAUAAGCACCGGCUAACUUCGUGCCAGCAGCGGC
Molecule: ribosomal RNA, 462 nt
Filed under: uncultured bacterium
Lineage: Bacteria
Description: bacterial SSU rRNA
Rfam family: Bacterial small subunit ribosomal RNA
Source: RNAcentral